AGUGAACGCUGGCGGUAGGCCUAACACAUGCAAGUCGAACGGCAGCACAGGAGAGCUUGCUCUCUGGGUGGCGAGUGGCGGACGGGUGAGGAAUACAUCGGAAUCUACCUUUUCGUGGGGGAUAACGUAGGGAAACUUACGCUAAUACCGCAUACGACCUUCGGGUGAAAGCAGGGGACCUUCGGGCCUUGCGCGGAUAGAUGAGCCGAUGUCGGAUUAGCUAGUUGGCGGGGUAAAGGCCCACCAAGGCGACGAUCCGUAGCUGGUCUGAGAGGAUGAUCAGCCACACUGGAACUGAGACACGGUCCAGACUCCUACGGGAGGCAGCAGUGGGGAAUAUUGGACAAUGGGCGCAAGCCUGAUCCAGCCAUACCGCGUGGGUGAAGAAGGCCUUCGGGUUGUAAAGCCCUUUUGUUGGGAAAGAAAAGCAGCUAGCUGAUACCUGGUUGUUCUGACGGUACCCAAAGAAUAAGCACCGGCUAACUUCGUGCCAGCCGCCGCAGUAA
Molecule: ribosomal RNA, 506 nt
Filed under: uncultured bacterium
Lineage: Bacteria
Description: partial 16S ribosomal RNA
Rfam family: Bacterial small subunit ribosomal RNA
Source: RNAcentral